RNAcentral lists this ribosomal RNA (465 nucleotides) under uncultured bacterium. Its description in RNAcentral is "partial 16S ribosomal RNA". It matches the Rfam family "Bacterial small subunit ribosomal RNA", at positions 28 to 507 of the family's 1533-position model. The record is from RNAcentral.
GACGAACGCUGGCGGCGUGCUUAACACAUGCAAGUCGAACGGAAAGGCCCUGCCUGCAGGGUACGAGAGGCGCGAAGGGGAGAGAAACACGUGGGAGCUCCGCUCCACACUUCGGGAUAAGCGUGGAAAAGGGGGUCAAAUACGGGAGAAGAGCAAUUUAGAGUGUGAGGGGGGGAGAGUUUUCUCGGUGUGGGAUGAGCGCGCGGCCUAUCAGCGUGUUGGUGGGGUAAUGGCCUACCAAGGCGGCGACGGGUAGCCGGACUGAGAGGGUGGUCGGCCACAUUGGGACUGAGAUACGGCCCAGACUCCUACGGGAGGCAGCAGUGGGGAAUAUUGCACAAUGGGCGCAAGCCUGAUGCAGCGACGCCGCGUGGGGGAUGACGGCCUUCGGGUUGUAAACUCCUUUCGCUAGGGACGAAGCUUUUUGUGACGGUACCUGGAGAAGAAGCACCGGCUAACUACGUG